ACGCACGCUGGCGGCGUGCUUAACACAUGCAAGUCGAACGGAAAGGCCCUGCUUUUGUGGGGUGCUCGAGUGGCGAACGGGUGAGUAACACGUGAGUAACCUGCCCUUGACUUUGGGAUAACUUCAGGAAACUGGGGCUAAUACCGGAUAGGAGCUCCUGCUGCAUGGUGGGGGUUGGAAAGUUUCGGCGGUUGGGGAUGGACUCGCGGCUUAUCAGCUUGUUGGUGGGGUAGUGGCUUACCAAGGCUUUGACGGGUAGCCGGCCUGAGAGGGUGACCGGCCACAUUGGGACUGAGAUACGGCCCAGACUCCUACGGGAGGCAGCAGUGGGGAAUAUUGCACAAUGGGCGGAAGCCUGAUGCAGCAACGCCGCGUGCGGGAUGACGGCCUUCGGGUUGUAAACCGCUUUCACCUGUGACGAAGCGUGAGUGACGGUAAUGGGUAAAGAAGCACCGGCUAACUACGUG
RNAcentral lists this ribosomal RNA (467 nucleotides) under uncultured bacterium. Its description in RNAcentral is "partial 16S ribosomal RNA". It matches the Rfam family "Bacterial small subunit ribosomal RNA", at positions 29 to 507 of the family's 1533-position model. The record is from RNAcentral.